RNAcentral lists this ribosomal RNA (485 nucleotides) under uncultured bacterium. Its description in RNAcentral is "bacterial SSU rRNA". It matches the Rfam family "Bacterial small subunit ribosomal RNA", at positions 28 to 505 of the family's 1533-position model. The record is from RNAcentral.
GACGAACGCUGGCGGCGUGCUUAACACAUGCAAGUCGAGGGGCAGCACGCAGAUAGCUUGCUAUCAGUGGUGGCGACCGGCGCACGGGUGAGUAACGCGUAUCCAACCUGCCCCAUACUAGAGAAUAGGCUUUCGAAAGAAAGAUUAAUUCUCUAUGUUCUCAUAAGCAGACAUCCAAUUAUGAGCAAAGAUUUAUCGGUAUGGGAUGGGGAUGCGUCUGAUUAGGCAGUUGGCGGGUAACGGCCCACCAAGCCACCGAUCAGUAGGGGUUCUGAGAGGAAGGUCCCCCACAUUGGAACUGAGACACGGUCCAAACUCCUACGGGAGGCAGCAGUGAGGAAUAUUGGUCAAUGGAUGAGAAUCUGAACCAGCCAAGUAGCGUGAGGGAUGACUGCCCUAUGGGUUGUAAACCUCUUUUAUGCGGGAUAAAGUGAGUGACGUGUCAUUCAUUGCAGGUACCGCAAGAAUAAGGACCGCUAAUUCCG